Molecule: ribosomal RNA, 400 nt
Filed under: phytoplankton environmental sample
Lineage: Eukaryota
Description: partial small subunit ribosomal RNA
Rfam family: Eukaryotic small subunit ribosomal RNA
Source: RNAcentral
AGCUCCAAUAGCGUAUAUUAAAGUUGUUGCAGUUAAAAAGCUCGUAGUUGGAUCUCGGGCGUGGUGUCCACCGGUCGGCCGCAAGGUUUGUUUUACUGGUGCACCGUGCUCUUCUUGCAGAGACGUCUGUGUGCACUUCGUUGUGUGCGCUUACGCAUUUGCAACGUUUACUUUGAAAAAAUUAGAGUGUUCAAAGCAGGCACGUACGUGGCUUGAAUACAUGAGCAUGGAAUAAUGGAAUAGGACUUCGUUUUUCCUAUUUUGUUGGUUUCUCGGAACGAAGUAAUGAUUAAGAGGGACAGUUGGGGGCAUCCGUAUUUCGUUGUCAGAGGUGAAAUUCUUGGAUUUACGAAAGACGAACAACUGCGAAAGCACUUGCCAAGAGUGUUUUCAUUAAUCA